GAUGAAGAACGUAGCGAAAUGCGAUAAGUAAUGUGAAUUGCAGAAUUCAGUGAAUCAUCGAAUCUUUGAACGCACAUUGCGCCCGCCAGUAUUCUGGCGGGCAUGCCUGUUCGAGCGUCAUUUCAACCAUCAAGCCCCCGGGCUUGUGUUGGGGACCUGCGGCUGCCGCAGGCCCUGAAAAGCAGUGGCGGGCUCGCUGUCACACCGAGCGUAGUAGAUUUUAUCUCGCUCUGGGCGUGCUGCGGGUUCCGGCCGUUAAACCACCCUUUUAACCCAAGGUUGACCUCAGAUCAGGUAGGAAUACCCGCUGAACUUAAGCAUAUCAAUAAGCGGAGGA
RNAcentral lists this unclassified non-coding RNA (337 nucleotides) under soil metagenome. RNAcentral's name for it is "partial contains 5.8S ribosomal RNA, internal transcribed spacer 2, and large subunit ribosomal RNA". The stretch from base 1 to 120 matches the Rfam family "5.8S ribosomal RNA", at positions 35 to 154 of the family's 154-position model. The record is from RNAcentral.